AAGUCGUAACAAGGUCUCCGUAGGUGAACCUGCGGAGGGAUCAUUACUGAGUUAUUACAACUCCAACCCAUGUGAACUUACCACUGUUGCCUCGGCGCAGAGGCCUGCUGAGGACUUGUCCUCGGUGGGUGGACGCGCCGGUGGACUACUAAACUCUUGUUAAUUUUGUUAUUCUGAAUAAAAAACUUAAUAAGUUAAAACUUUCAACAACGGAUCUCUUGGUUCUGGC
This 229-nucleotide unclassified non-coding RNA is filed under the name fungal sp. Its description in RNAcentral is "partial internal transcribed spacer region". The stretch from base 1 to 46 matches the Rfam family "Eukaryotic small subunit ribosomal RNA", at positions 1786 to 1831 of the family's 1831-position model. Lineage: Eukaryota; Fungi. The record is from RNAcentral.